AGAGUUUGAUCCUGGCUCAGAUUGAACGCUGGCGGCAGGCCUAACACAUGCAAGUCGAGCGGUAGAGAGGUGCUUGCACCUCUUGAGAGCGGCGGACGGGUGAGUAAAGCCUAGGAAUCUGCCUGGUAGUGGGGGAUAACGCUCGGAAACGGACGCUAAUACCGCAUACGUCCUACGGGAGAAAGCAGGGGACCUUCGGGCCUUGCGCUAUCAGAUGAGCCUAGGUCGGAUUAGCUAGUUGGUGAGGUAAUGGCUCACCAAGGCGACGAUCCGUAACUGGUCUGAGAGGAUGAUCAGUCACACUGGAACUGAGACACGGUCCAGACUCCUACGGGAGGCAGCAGUGGGGAAUAUUGGACAAU
This 362-nucleotide ribosomal RNA is filed under the name uncultured Pseudomonas sp. RNAcentral's name for it is "bacterial SSU rRNA". It matches the Rfam family "Bacterial small subunit ribosomal RNA", at positions 8 to 372 of the family's 1533-position model. The record is from RNAcentral. Lineage: Bacteria; Pseudomonadati; Pseudomonadota; Gammaproteobacteria; Pseudomonadales; Pseudomonadaceae.